This 497-nucleotide ribosomal RNA is filed under the name uncultured bacterium. Its description in RNAcentral is "partial 16S ribosomal RNA". It matches the Rfam family "Bacterial small subunit ribosomal RNA", at positions 28 to 507 of the family's 1533-position model. The record is from RNAcentral.
GAUGAACGCUGGCGGCGUGCCUAAUACAUGCAAGUCGAGCGAACGGACGAGAAGCUUGCUUCUCUGAUGUUAGCGGCGGACGGGUGAGUAACACGUGGAUAACCUACCUAUAAGACUGGGAUAACUUCGGGAAACCGGAGCUAAUACCGGAUAAUAUUUUGAACCGCAUGGUUCAAAAGUGAAAGACGGUCUUGCUGUCACUUAUAGAUGGAUCCGCGCUGCAUUAGCUAGUUGGUAAGGUAACGGCUUACCAAGGCAACGAUGCAUAGCCGACCUGAGAGGGUGAUCGGCCACACGGGAACUGAGACACAGUCCAGACUCCUACGGGAGGAAGCAGUAGGGAAUCUUCCGCGAUGGGCGAAAGCCUGACGGAGCAACGCCGCGUGAGUGAUGAAGGUCUUCGGAUCGUAAAACUCUGUUAUUAGGGAAGAACAUAUGUGUAAGUAACUGUGCACAUCUUGACGGUACCUAAUCAGAAAGCCACGGCUAACUACGUG